This 253-nucleotide ribosomal RNA is filed under the name uncultured bacterium. RNAcentral describes it as "partial 16S ribosomal RNA". It matches the Rfam family "Bacterial small subunit ribosomal RNA", at positions 524 to 776 of the family's 1533-position model. The record is from RNAcentral.
UACGGAGGGGGCUAGCGUUGUUCGGAAUUACUGGGCGUAAAGCGCGCGUAGGCGGACCUGCAAGUCGGGGGUGAAAGCCCGAGGCUCAACCUCAGAACUGCCUUCGAUACUGCGGGUCUCGAGUCCGGGAGAGGUGAGUGGAAUUCCUAGUGUAGAGGUGAAAUUCGUAGAUAUUAGGAAGAACACCAGUGGCGAAGGCGGCUCACUGGCCCGGUACUGACGCUGAGGUGCGAAAGCGUGGGGAGCAAACAGG